Molecule: long non-coding RNA, 657 nt
Organism: Daucus carota subsp. sativus
Lineage: Eukaryota; Viridiplantae; Streptophyta; Magnoliopsida; Apiales; Apiaceae
Exons: 2
Source: RefSeq, a predicted model, not a curated record
UCAUGUUUCUUCAAAUCCAUAUCCCGCAUUCUCCGUCGAAGCACACAACUACCAUCGUUACCAGGAGUGCUUGAUUUUCGCUGUGAUCAACCCUAGGUGCGGAACUUUAGAGACUGAAGUCAUCGACUGGGGAGGGAUUUGCAGGACGCCUCAACUUUGUACGAAUAUGAGUUUAGGGCGAAGGAGAAAAAGUAGACUGAUCGAUAACUCAUGGGUAUACAAUUGGACAAAAAAGAAGCCUGAAUGCAUAACUAUUAACGAUGACGGGCAUAGUUGCAAGUCUGCCCACGUUGUUUCAAAGGGUACUUUGCUUAAGAAAAAAGUACGUGGAAGCGUGAUUGGCAUGCUAUUAAGGUCCAAAAACAAAAAAGAGGCAUUUGGCGUUGCAGAAGAUGGUCAAUUUCAGCAAAAUAAAGUUGUUGGGAGAUUAACGAUUUUAGCACUAGAAAAUAUAUUCCUAACGUGUUCCACGAUUGUAAGACUUUAUGUUUAGUUGCUACAUUAGAUUAUUUGGAAAUAUAUUUUGUUAUGAAAUUACAAUUUUGGUUGUGGGAAUUUAGAACAUGGGGAUACACAUUUCUAGCGGGUUGUUUAUAUGAAUUUAAAACUUUGUGUUUGCUAAUGAAAGUGCCCAGAGUUGUGGUACUGCACUUAGUU